This 468-nucleotide ribosomal RNA is filed under the name uncultured bacterium. Its description in RNAcentral is "partial 16S ribosomal RNA". It matches the Rfam family "Bacterial small subunit ribosomal RNA", at positions 28 to 507 of the family's 1533-position model. The record is from RNAcentral.
GACGAACGCUGGCGGCGUGCUUAACACAUGCAAGUCGAACGGAAAGGCCCUGCUUUUGUGGGGUGCUCGAGUGGCGAACGGGUGAGUAACACGUGAGUAACCUGCCCUUGACUUUGGGAUAACUUCAGGAAACUGGGGCUAAUACCGGAUAGGAGCUCCUGCUGCAUGGUGGGGGUUGGAAAGUUUCGGCGGUGGGGGAUGGACUCGCGGCUUAUCAGCUUGUUGGUGGGGUAGUGGCUUACCAAGGCUUUGACGGGUAGCCGGCCUGAGAGGGUGACCGGCCACAUUGGGACUGAGAUACGGCCCAGACUCCUACGGGAGGCAGCAGUGGGGAAUAUUGCACAAUGGGCGGAAGCCUGAUGCAGCAACGCCGCGUGCGGGAUGACGGCCUUCGGGUUGUAAACCGCUUUCGCCUGUGACGAGGCGUGAGUGACGGUAAUGGGUAAAGAAGCACCGGCUAACUACGUG